This 1218-nucleotide ribosomal RNA is filed under the name metagenome. Its description in RNAcentral is "bacterial SSU rRNA". It matches the Rfam family "Bacterial small subunit ribosomal RNA", at positions 8 to 1237 of the family's 1533-position model. The record is from RNAcentral.
AGAGUUUGAUCCCGGCUCAGAGUGAACGCUGGCGGCGUGCCUAACACAUGCAAGUCGAACGAGAACGGACUUAAGCUUGCUUAAGUUGUCAGCUAAGUGGCGCACGGGUGAGUAAUGUAUAGUUAACCUGCCCUCGAGAAAGGAAUAACAGUUGGAAACGACUGCUAAUGCCCUAUAUGCCUUUAAGACAUAAGUCUGCAAGGGAAAUGCUUUUGUGCUCGAGGAUGGGACUGUAUGGUAUCAGAUAGUUGGUGAGGUAAUGGCUCACCAAGUCAAUGACGCCUAACUGGUUUGAGAGGAUGAUCAGUCACACUGGAACUGAGACACGGUCCAGACUCCUACGGGAGGCAGCAGUGGGGAAUAUUGCACAAUGGAGGAAACUCUGAUGCAGCAACGCCGCUGGAGGAUGACACUUUUCGGAGCGUAACUCCUUUUAUAUAGGAAGAUAAUGACGGUACUAUAUGAAUAAGCACCGGCUAACUCCGUGCCAGCAGCCGCGGUAAUACGGAGGGUGCAAGCGUUACUCGGAAUCACUGGGCGUAAAGAGCGUGUUGGCGGAUAGAUAAGUUUGAAGUGAAAUCCAAUGGCUUAACCAUUGAACUGCUUUGAAAACUGUCUAUCUAGAAUAUGGGAGAGGUAGAUGGAAUUUCUGGUGUAGGGGUAAAAUCCGUAGAGAUCAGAAGGAAUACCGAUUGCGAAGGCGAUCUACUGGAACAUUAUUGACGCUGAGACGCGAAAGCGUGGGGAGCAAACAGGAUUAGAUACCAUGGUAGUCCACGCCCUAAACGAUGUACACUAGUUGUUGCGAUGCUAGACAUUGCAGUAAUGCAGUUAACACAUUAAGUGUACCGCCUGGGGAGUACGGUCGCAAGAUUAAAACUCAAAGGAAUAGACGGGGACCCGCACAAGCGGUGGAGCAUGUGGUUUAAUUCGACGAUACGCGAAGAACCUUACCUGGACUUGACAUAGUAAGAACUUUCUAGAGAUAGAUUGGUGUCUGCUUGCAGAAACUUAUAUACAGGUGCUGCACGGCUGUCGUCAGCUCGUGUCGUGAGAUGUUGGGUUAAGUCCCGCAACGAGCGCAACCCUCGUCGUUAGUUGCUAACAGUUCGGCUGAGAACUCUAACGAGACUGCCUACGCAAGUAGGAGGAAGGUGAGGACGACGUCAAGUCACCAUGGCCCUUACGUCCAGGGCUACACACCACUAAAAACCGUCG